This is a long non-coding RNA of Perognathus longimembris pacificus (Pacific pocket mouse), 261 nucleotides long. RefSeq lists it as uncharacterized. The transcript has 4 exons. The record is from RefSeq and is a predicted model, not a curated record. NCBI's taxonomy places the organism in Eukaryota, Metazoa, Chordata, Mammalia, Rodentia, Heteromyidae.
UCAUUUCACUUAGCAUCAUCUUAUGUGUUCAUAAGGGCAUAACUGUUGGGUUCUUGUGAUCUUCUACUAUGACUAGCCAAAACAUGUAUUAAUUAUUCCCUAUGAAGGAAACCAUAAAGCCCAUGUUCUUUGGGUCUGAUUCCCUUCACUUGUAUGAUUUUUUCCAAGUCCUUCCGUUUCCUUAUGAAUGGGGAAGUGUCGUUCUUUCUGAUAGAGGCAUAUAAUUCCACUGUGUGUCUGCACCACAUAUUCUAGAUCCAC